CUGGGACAAAAGAAAGAACAGUUGGUUGCAGAUCGUCGAAGCUUGCGGAGGUGAUUCGGACAUGCUCACUUACUACAAUAAGUCGAGCUCUGAUCGUCGAAAGAAAGUUGGUAUAAUAUCCCCGAAAAACAAGAUACCUCUCGUCUCGAUUGAUGGGCAGACAGCAGAAACUCCGACGAGUGCCAGAUCUUCAACCAGCUCUCCUGUUCCUCGUCUUCUUGCUACAUCCUUGGGACUUUGUUUUUCCUCCUCCUUUGUGAACUGACGCCAGUCCAUCCAACCCCCGAGUGAACCGGCUACAAAUCCAGUAUCAGCGAAAGAGAACUUCAACUAUAACGAGGUAUUUGUCCUCCGACUCUG
This 360-nucleotide long non-coding RNA is filed under the name Androctonus crassicauda. The record is from RNAcentral. Lineage: Eukaryota; Metazoa; Arthropoda; Arachnida; Scorpiones; Buthidae.